UUCAAAAAACCGAAAAUUGAAAAAAACCAAAAACCGAACCGAACUGAAACCGAAAAAACUGAACCGAAUUGAAAAAACUGAACCGAACCGAAUUCUUUUGGUUCAGUUUCGGUUUUAGUGAUCUAGAAACCGAACCGAAUUAAUUAAAUUAAUUUUUAUUUAAUUAUUUGUUUUGGGUAUUAUUUUCUAAACCCAAUUUGUAAGUUAAAAUGUGCUAAACCCAAUGUGUUGCCAAACUUUAAGCUCAAAAUAUUAAAAAAAGGCCUAUAAAAACUAUAAACGUUAACCUAUUAUUUCUCCCCCAUAUAAGGUUCCGGAACCAAACCUCCUCCUGAAGUUACCUACAUCCAUCUCCAUAGCAUUGUCUACUUCUGCCCCAGCUUUCUUUUCCAAAUCUACUCUCAUAUAACAUGUGACAGAAUCCAUAAACAUUUAUUUCGGGUAGAUUAUUUGCGUAAUUUGUGAUGGAAAAGAAUCCAACACACACUAAAUAAAUCCACCCACGUAUUACUUUUACUAAUCAAGUUGUCAACAUGCAGUUACAAGCAAACAUGCCUGAUCUUUGAACAACAUUAUACAAUUUAACUUUUCUAAGUCAUUUGUAUGAUUUUUGUGUUGUGGGGUUGUUAGUUUGGACUUUGGAAGACUUGAUUGAUGAUUUUAGUUCAACUUUAAAUGUUUAUUUUCAUUGUCUUUGAUUCUAGUUAGAAUGCUUAUGUUAUGAUUGUGUUGGAGAUGUUAAAAUUUA
RNAcentral lists this long non-coding RNA (748 nucleotides) under Malus domestica (apple). RNAcentral describes it as "long non-coding RNA (MDOM_LNC009376)". The record is from RNAcentral. Lineage: Eukaryota; Viridiplantae; Streptophyta; Magnoliopsida; Rosales; Rosaceae.